Molecule: long non-coding RNA, 2049 nt
Filed under: Homo sapiens (human)
Lineage: Eukaryota; Metazoa; Chordata; Mammalia; Primates; Hominidae
Description: HSALNT0029265
Source: RNAcentral
GGACUAUCGUAUGGGAGAGGCCAAAAAAGAUUUUGUUGUUUUCGGUCAGUUAAACGCUUAAGGACAGGGAUAUGGAAUGGAAAGGAAGGAGUGAGAAGAGGGACCAGGAGCAACUUGUGCCAAACCUAAAAGGCAAUAAUAAUAAAGAUAGGCUUUUCUGAGCACCACUGAGUGCCAGGCACUGGUGUAAGUGUUACAAUGCUUAUAACUCAGUGCCCUCAUCAUGGAGUCCUCCUGCCAGCACCGCGUGGUGAAGUUCCAUUUUGCAGAGGAGGAAACUGAGAUCAACUGGCUUGUUCAAGUUCACGCACCUAGGAAGUGGUGGAGCCAGGUUUGACUCAGGCCGGCUGGUUCCAGAGCCCAUGGGCCUCAACUCAGCCAACGAGCCCAUUCGCCUUGCCAGGGCUUGGUUUCGCUGAAGCGGGGCUCCAGGCUGGAGUUAGUUUUGUGAAGGGGAUUAGCCCUGGUGGCCGCUGGCUGCUGACAGCUGGCAGUUGGAGUGGGCGAGGCUGAGGGGGCCCCUGGGCCUGGGCAGCUUGGGCAGGAGCCGGCGAGGAAGGGGAGGUGCCUCAGGGGGCCGCCUGGGUGUCGGUGCGGGUAGAAAGGCGGGAGAGACAGGCAGAGGCAGCCGUCUGGGUUGUACAACCUGCAGCCCACGCACGCCGAGAGCCACCAGCGUGGAGUCAGGAUGAGGAGUCCUCCUCCCACCUGGUGUGGGCUGGAGUCCCAGGAGCGGGUGCUGGAGUGGGAUAGCGGGGGAUCAGCUCAUCUGAAGCCCUGGUUGUGGGAUUUGCCCUGAUACAUUGCUUCGGCUGCCUGCAGGGGUGGGCUCUCCUAGUUCUCUGAAGGGUCAGAGGAUCGAGAAGGCGCCGUGUGGGAACCACCUGGAACAGGGCCUGGACUGUCACGCAUGGUGCUUGAGAAGGGAGAGGGCAGCUGUCACCUUUAACACCCACCCACCACCUUAUUUCCAGAUGGCACCCAGCACCCUUCUACGUACUGCUCUACUGGCACCUGCGCAGACAGCCAAAAGUCACCGGGAGCUGCAGCGUUCCGUUUUGGAGCAAAAGCGAGAUCAUGGAGUUGAAAGGGACUGAUUUUCACUUUCUUGCCUGGCUCCUAGGCUCACUCAAAGGGCACGUUUCAAAGAGGCUCUCUGGAACGAGGAGCCUUCUGUGGAGGGACCUGCUCCAUGGGACUUUAAGAAGGGGGUGGUGGGCUGUUUUGGGGGAAGAUGAGUGUAUGCCACACCCUCCACAAGCCAUUUGGCUGGCUCAUCCCAACGUGUUGCAGAGGCGGCUGGCCCGGGGCAGGGAGGCUCAUUCUGGCCAUCCCUGGGUUGCUUGUGGGGCUACUUUUCUGGCCAUGAUGACCCAUGAUUUAUUAUGACCCCAAGCACGACCUCUUAGACUUGGGAAGUGUGGUUCCUCCAAAGGGAUCAGAGAAUAGUGACAGAGUAAAUCCAAGAACGCUGUAGAAGGAAGACACUUCUUUAGGCCUCUUAGAGUUAACUGCUUCCUAUUCAACCUGGAAUUAGUUCACGGACCCUGCUGUCUUUGGUAAUACCUCGGUAAUUUUCCUUAAUAAUUGUAACAACUGUUUCACCUUGUUUUCCUCAAAUAUUAGGCUGUUAUUUCAACCAAGUGUGUUUUGGACUUUAACCAGAGACUAUGGCACAAAUUCUGAAGUCAGGUUUAUUUAUUUUUUAUUUUUUAAUUUUUUCCAGCUGUGGGCUGGCUCUGGCUCAGCCAUCUGAAAAUAAGUUAUUUAUAUAUAUGUGUGUAGCCAUAUAGAUAUACUCAUCCACAUAUACGAAGACCACUUCCAAGUCUUUUUUAGUUUGUUGCAUGUGACCCCACAGAAUUCCUUGGACCCAGCUGACCAGGGUUUGACACCCACUUCGUGUGAUCUGGCCAGACCCAGCUACUCCAAGCCCCUCUCCUCACAGGGAAAAUGGCAAAAAGCAGUGUGUAAAUGUCUUAUCAGGGCUCUGUAUACAUUAGAUGCUCAAUAAAGCUCUCAUUUGGGGAAGCUGGAUAACAGAAGUGG